This 1550-nucleotide ribosomal RNA is filed under the name Leclercia sp. 29361. RNAcentral describes it as "16S ribosomal RNA". It matches the Rfam family "Bacterial small subunit ribosomal RNA". Lineage: Bacteria; Pseudomonadati; Pseudomonadota; Gammaproteobacteria; Enterobacterales; Enterobacteriaceae. The record is from RNAcentral.
AAAUUGAAGAGUUUGAUCAUGGCUCAGAUUGAACGCUGGCGGCAGGCCUAACACAUGCAAGUCGAACGGUAGCACAGAGAGCUUGCUCUCGGGUGACGAGUGGCGGACGGGUGAGUAAUGUCUGGGAAACUGCCUGAUGGAGGGGGAUAACUACUGGAAACGGUAGCUAAUACCGCAUAACGUCGCAAGACCAAAGAGGGGGACCUUCGGGCCUCUUGCCAUCAGAUGUGCCCAGAUGGGAUUAGCUAGUAGGUGGGGUAAUGGCUCACCUAGGCGACGAUCCCUAGCUGGUCUGAGAGGAUGACCAGCCACACUGGAACUGAGACACGGUCCAGACUCCUACGGGAGGCAGCAGUGGGGAAUAUUGCACAAUGGGCGCAAGCCUGAUGCAGCCAUGCCGCGUGUAUGAAGAAGGCCUUCGGGUUGUAAAGUACUUUCAGCGAGGAGGAAGGCGGUGAGGUUAAUAACCUCAUCGAUUGACGUUACUCGCAGAAGAAGCACCGGCUAACUCCGUGCCAGCAGCCGCGGUAAUACGGAGGGUGCAAGCGUUAAUCGGAAUUACUGGGCGUAAAGCGCACGCAGGCGGUCUGUCAAGUCGGAUGUGAAAUCCCCGGGCUCAACCUGGGAACUGCAUUCGAAACUGGCAGGCUAGAGUCUUGUAGAGGGGGGUAGAAUUCCAGGUGUAGCGGUGAAAUGCGUAGAGAUCUGGAGGAAUACCGGUGGCGAAGGCGGCCCCCUGGACAAAGACUGACGCUCAGGUGCGAAAGCGUGGGGAGCAAACAGGAUUAGAUACCCUGGUAGUCCACGCCGUAAACGAUGUCGACUUGGAGGUUGUUCCCUUGAGGAGUGGCUUCCGGAGCUAACGCGUUAAGUCGACCGCCUGGGGAGUACGGCCGCAAGGUUAAAACUCAAAUGAAUUGACGGGGGCCCGCACAAGCGGUGGAGCAUGUGGUUUAAUUCGAUGCAACGCGAAGAACCUUACCUACUCUUGACAUCCAGAGAACUUUCCAGAGAUGGAUUGGUGCCUUCGGGAACUCUGAGACAGGUGCUGCAUGGCUGUCGUCAGCUCGUGUUGUGAAAUGUUGGGUUAAGUCCCGCAACGAGCGCAACCCUUAUCCUUUGUUGCCAGCGGUCCGGCCGGGAACUCAAAGGAGACUGCCAGUGAUAAACUGGAGGAAGGUGGGGAUGACGUCAAGUCAUCAUGGCCCUUACGAGUAGGGCUACACACGUGCUACAAUGGCGCAUACAAAGAGAAGCGACCUCGCGAGAGCAAGCGGACCUCAUAAAGUGCGUCGUAGUCCGGAUUGGAGUCUGCAACUCGACUCCAUGAAGUCGGAAUCGCUAGUAAUCGUAGAUCAGAAUGCUACGGUGAAUACGUUCCCGGGCCUUGUACACACCGCCCGUCACACCAUGGGAGUGGGUUGCAAAAGAAGUAGGUAGCUUAACCUUCGGGAGGGCGCUUACCACUUUGUGAUUCAUGACUGGGGUGAAGUCGUAACAAGGUAACCGUAGGGGAACCUGCGGUUGGAUCACCUCCUUACCUUAAAGAA